UACGUAGGGGGCAAGCGUUGUCCGGAUUUAUUGGGCGUAAAGAGCGUGUAGGCGGCCUGACAGGUCUGCUGUGAAAACUCGAGGCUCAACCUCGAGAUGUCGGCGGAAACCGUCUGGCUAGAGUCCGGAAGAGGAGAGUGGAAUUCCCGGUGUAGCGGUGAAAUGCGCAGAUAUCGGGAAGAACACCUGCGGCGAAGGCGGCUCUCUGGGACGGUACUGACGCUGAGACGCGAAAGCGUGGGGAGCAAACAGG
RNAcentral lists this ribosomal RNA (253 nucleotides) under uncultured bacterium. RNAcentral describes it as "partial 16S ribosomal RNA". It matches the Rfam family "Bacterial small subunit ribosomal RNA", at positions 524 to 776 of the family's 1533-position model. The record is from RNAcentral.